UGCAAAUUUUGUAAAUAGACUGUUUAUUUUUUAUUUUUGAAAAUCGUCAAGCGAAAAUUGAAGGAAAGUAGCAAUUUAUGAAAUUUAGCAACAAGGCUGCCAAAGAAGAUGAGGUUAAGCCUGCAUUUCAUUAUACUCUGACAACAAAGAAAGCUUGUAUUGACCCCCUACUUUUGAGGAACUGAACUCAUUGAAGGAGACUGAAAGCUUGUUUCAUUCCAGCCUGUUUCACAUGCAGAUAAAUGAACUGCUUGCUGAGGUUUAAGCUAGAGCAGACAUUGCACCUUUUGAAUGAAUUGUUAACAUCAAUCAUUGCCGGAUGGAGAACAACAGGAUAUCAGUGAUCUGAGUUGGAUGGCAAAGAAUGGUAGUAUUCCACUUUUUUCCUUGCCUGGUCCAAUAAAAGGAAAGUUCAUCUUUAAGAAACUGGAAUCUGUAAAUGUUAUUGGCGGUUACCAACUUGGAACUUUGUGUAUACAAUAUAUCAAAAUCAACCUGGCAGUCCAGUUACCCAAGGGCUUAAUUCACAGUAAAGACCAUCUUUAUCUACGCUAUGACUACAAAAGAGAUAUAUAUUUGGCAACACCUUCUUCAUUUAUCAAAAAGAGCAAGCUCUUCAAGAGUGUUGCAUUUGCCUGUCACAACGGAGAGUAUAAUUGAAACCUAUUCUUUUAUUGAGACCAAAAGGAGUUUGGGCCUGAAAAAUCUCAACGAACCGGGCAAAAGGAGACUUUGAAGAAGUUAAAGGAGUUUUAUAUAUUUAUGUUGAAAGAAGACAUCGACAUCGUGUUGAAAUUGAGGUAACAGUUGAAGAUACUCCCCAACCGAGAAUAUGGGAUGCGAUUGAAAACUUUGACACAUCACUUUUAGACAAAAAACCUAAUCUGGAUGUAAAACGAGAACAAUAAUGAUCCAAUUUUAUUAACUGAAUGUAGACGGAACAUUACACUUUAAUAGCGUAU
This is a long non-coding RNA of Dendronephthya gigantea, 962 nucleotides long. RefSeq lists it as uncharacterized. NCBI's taxonomy places the organism in Eukaryota, Metazoa, Cnidaria, Anthozoa, Malacalcyonacea, Nephtheidae. The record is from RefSeq and is a predicted model, not a curated record. The transcript has 5 exons.